Cinara cedri is the source of this 218-nucleotide non-coding RNA. The record is from the annotation of a GenBank genome assembly. Lineage: Eukaryota; Metazoa; Arthropoda; Insecta; Hemiptera; Aphididae.
AAAAUUUAUUUUCGUGUUUUAUUUUUAUAAUAACCAUAAAGGUUAUGUACAUGUAAGUAUCUACAUGUGUUUCCCGUUAUAUUAUCAUAAUAUUGUGUUAUAAUUGUGCAGAGGAGUGUUUAAUGGGGGGCAAAGGAGGCAUUUUCCCCCACCGUCAAAAUUUUAAAAUAUUUCAUAGGCGGCAUUCGUAUACAGAUUUUUCAUACAUUUUUUGCAGA